This 496-nucleotide ribosomal RNA is filed under the name uncultured bacterium. RNAcentral describes it as "partial 16S ribosomal RNA". It matches the Rfam family "Bacterial small subunit ribosomal RNA", at positions 29 to 507 of the family's 1533-position model. The record is from RNAcentral.
AUGAACGCUGGCGGCGUGCCUAAUACAUGCAAGUCGUGCGAACAGACGAGGAGCUUGCUCCUCUGACGUUAGCGGCGGACGGGUGAGUAACACGUGGAUAACCUACCUAUAAGACUGGGAUAACUUCGGGAAACCGGAGCUAAUACCGGAUAAUAUAUUGAACCGCAUGGUUCAAUAGUGAAAGACGGCUUUGCUGUCACUUAUAGAUGGAUCCGCGCCGCAUUAGCUAGUUGGUAAGGUAACGGCUUACCAAGGCAACGAUGCGUAGCCGACCUGAGAGGGUGAUCGGCCACACUGGAACUGAGACACGGUCCAGACUCCUACGGGAGGCAGCAGUAGGGAAUCUUCCGCAAUGGGCGAAAGCCUGACGGAGCAACGCCGCGUGAGUGAUGAAGGUCUUCGGAUCGUAAAACUCUGUUAUUAGGGAAGAACAAAUGUGUAAGUAACUAUGCACGUCUUGACGGUACCUAAUCAGAAAGCCACGGCUAACUACGUG